GCAACGAAGUUUCUGAAGAUCAGAUGGUAGAUCCUUAGAUAGCCUUGAGUCAAGACCUCGUAAAAGAAGAACUCCAUCCCUUCUCAGCUUUCUGGUGUAAUGUGACCGUAUCCAUUGAGGGGAAGCAUGAAGAGGGGUCCGUUUCUCCUCUACUGGCCUUGUCAUCACGUGUGUAGAUGGAAGUGAUGAAACAAUUCGAACGUCAUUCCCCAAAACGUUUUUGAAAUGAUCCAAGUUGAAAAUAUCAGAAAACUCACUUUCAUCAGCCCAAAUAGGAUUGACUUGAAAAAUGGGAACAACCAAAGCAGCCUCAAGAAUUCUAGCAAUGACAACAGCAUCAACAAUUUGAUUUCUCUGCUGAUUCAUUCCCCCAGAAACCACAACCA
RNAcentral lists this unclassified non-coding RNA (386 nucleotides) under Hevea brasiliensis (rubber tree). Lineage: Eukaryota; Viridiplantae; Streptophyta; Magnoliopsida; Malpighiales; Euphorbiaceae. The record is from RNAcentral.